GGCGAACGGGUGAGUAACACGUGGGCAAUCUGCCCUGCACUUCGGGAUAAGCCUGGGAAACUGGGUCUAAUACCGGAUAGGACCUUUAGGCGCAUGUCUUUAGGUGGAAAGCUUUUGCGGUGUGGGAUGGGCCCGCGGCCUAUCAGCUUGUUGGUGGGGUGAUGGCCUACCAAGGCGACGACGGGUAGCCGGCCUGAGAGGGUGUCCGGCCACACUGGGACUGAGAUACGGCCCAGACUCCUACGGGAGGCAGCAGUGGGGAAUAUUGCACAAUGGGCGCAAGCCUGAUGCAGCGACGCCGCGUGGGGGAUGACGGCCUUCGGGUUGUAAACCUCUUUCACCAUCGACGAAGGUCCGGGUUUUCUCGGAUUGACGGUAGGUGGAGAAGAAGCACCGGCCAACUACGUGCCAGCAGCCGCGGUAAUACGUAGGGUGCGAGCGUUGUCCGGAAUUACUGGGCGUAAAGAGCUCGUAGGUGGUUUGUCGCGUUGUUCGUGAAAUCUCACGGCUUAACUGUGAGCGUGCGGGCGAUACGGGCAGACUAGAGUACUGCAGGGGAGACUGGAAUUCCUGGUGUAGCGGUGGAAUGCGCAGAUAUCAGGAGGAACACCGGUGGCGAAGGCGGGUCUCUGGGCAGUAACUGACGCUGAGGAGCGAAAGCGUGGGGAGCGAACAGGAUUAGAUACCCUGGUAGUCCACGCCGUAAACGGUGGGUACUAGGUGUGGGUUUCCUUCCUUGGGAUCCGUGCCGUAGCUAACGCAUUAAGUACCCCGCCUGGGGAGUACGGCCGCAAGGCUAAAACUCAAAGGAAUUGACGGGGGCCCGCACAAGCGGCGGAGCAUGUGGAUUAAUUCGAUGCAACGCGAAGAACCUUACCUGGGUUUGACAUGCACAGGACGCGUCUAGAGAUAGGCGUUCCCUUGUGGCCUGUGUGCAGGUGGUGCAUGGCUGUCGUCAGCUCGUGUCGUGAGAUGUUGGGUUAAGUCCCGCAACGAGCGCAACCCUUGUCUCAUGUUGCCAGCGGGUAAUGCCGGGGACUCGUGAGAGACUGCCGGGGUCAACUCGGAGGAAGGUGGGGAUGACGUCAAGUCAUCAUGCCCCUUAUGUCCAGGGCUUCACACAUGCUACAAUGGCCGGUACAAAGGGCUGCGAUGCCGCAAGGUUAAGCGAAUCCUUUUAAAGCCGGUCUCAGUUCGGAUUGGGGUCUGCAACUCGACCCCAUGAAGUCGGAGUCGCUAGUAAUCGCAGAUCAGCAACGCUGCGGUGAAUACGUUCCCGGGCCUUGUACACACCGCCCGUCACGUCAUGAAAGUCGGUAACACCCGAAGCCAGUGGCCUAACC
RNAcentral lists this ribosomal RNA (1343 nucleotides) under Mycobacterium intracellulare. RNAcentral's name for it is "bacterial SSU rRNA". It matches the Rfam family "Bacterial small subunit ribosomal RNA", at positions 97 to 1440 of the family's 1533-position model. The record is from RNAcentral. Lineage: Bacteria; Bacillati; Actinomycetota; Actinomycetes; Mycobacteriales; Mycobacteriaceae.